RNAcentral lists this ribosomal RNA (315 nucleotides) under Vibrio cyclitrophicus. RNAcentral describes it as "bacterial SSU rRNA". It matches the Rfam family "Bacterial small subunit ribosomal RNA", at positions 439 to 758 of the family's 1533-position model. Lineage: Bacteria; Pseudomonadati; Pseudomonadota; Gammaproteobacteria; Vibrionales; Vibrionaceae. The record is from RNAcentral.
GGUGUGUAGUUAAUAGCUGCGCAUCUUGACGUUAGCAACAGAAGAAGCACCGGCUAACUCCGUGCCAGCAGCCGCGGUAAUACGGAGGGUGCGAGCGUUAAUCGGAAUUACUGGGCGUAAAGCGCAUGCAGGUGGUUCAUUAAGUCAGAUGUGAAAGCCCGGGGCUCAACCUCGGAACUGCAUUUGAAACUGGUGAACUAGAGUACUGUAGAGGGGGGUAGAAUUUCAGGUGUAGCGGUGAAAUGCGUAGAGAUCUGAAGGAAUACCAGUGGCGAAGGCGGCCCCCUGGACAGAUACUGACACUCAGAUGCGAAA